This 253-nucleotide ribosomal RNA is filed under the name uncultured bacterium. Its description in RNAcentral is "partial 16S ribosomal RNA". It matches the Rfam family "Bacterial small subunit ribosomal RNA", at positions 524 to 776 of the family's 1533-position model. The record is from RNAcentral.
UACGUAGGGCGCGAGCGUUGUCCGGAUUUAUUGGGCGUAAAGAGCUCGUAGGCGGCUUGUCGCGUCGUCCGUGAAAACCCACAGCUCAACUGUGGGCUUGCGGUCGAUACGGGCAGGCUAGAGUUCGGUAGGGGAGACUGGAAUUCCUGGUGUAGCGGUGAAAUGCGCAGAUAUCAGGAGGAACACCGAUGGCGAAGGCAGGUCUCUGGGCCGAUACUGACGCUGAGGAGCGAAAGCGUGGGGAGCGAACAGG